UAACACGUGGGCAAUCUGCCCUGCACUCUGGGACAAGCCCUGGAAACGGGGUCUAAUACCGGAUACUGACCCUCGCAGGCAUCUGCGAGGUUCGAAAGCUCCGGCGGUGCAGGAUGAGCCCGCGGCCUAUCAGCUUGUUGGUGAGGUAAUGGCUCACCAAGGCGACGACGGGUAGCCGGCCUGAGAGGGCGACCGGCCACACUGGGACUGAGACACGGCCCAGACUCCUACGGGAGGCAGCAGUGGGGAAUAUUGCACAAUGGGCGAAAGCCUGAUGCAGCGACGCCGCGUGAGGGAUGACGGCCUUCGGGUUGUAAACCUCUUUCAGCAGGGAAGAAGCGAAAGUGACGGUACCUGCAGAAGAAGCGCCGGCUAACUACGUGCCAGCAGCCGCGGUAAUACGUAGGGCGCAAGCGUUGUCCGGAAUUAUUGGGCGUAAAGAGCUCGUAGGCGGCUUGUCGCGUCGGUUG
This 470-nucleotide ribosomal RNA is filed under the name Streptomyces sp. RNAcentral describes it as "bacterial SSU rRNA". It matches the Rfam family "Bacterial small subunit ribosomal RNA", at positions 111 to 594 of the family's 1533-position model. The record is from RNAcentral. Lineage: Bacteria; Bacillati; Actinomycetota; Actinomycetes; Kitasatosporales; Streptomycetaceae.